Long non-coding RNA from Helianthus annuus (common sunflower), 1701 nucleotides. RefSeq lists it as uncharacterized. The record is from RefSeq and is a predicted model, not a curated record. Lineage: Eukaryota; Viridiplantae; Streptophyta; Magnoliopsida; Asterales; Asteraceae. The transcript has 2 exons.
UGGGUCGCGAACAAGAAGCAGGAAGGAGAGGAAACCCUUCUCCUUCAUAAUACCUCAAGAAUUUCAUAAAUUAAAGGUGUUGUUGAUCCAAAAAUCGAAUGCAUGAGGCUAAUUCUUCGCUAAUCUAAGCAUAUUGAACAUAAGGAGUCAUGUCAAUAGAGGCACAAAUAUGGAAGCGCUACGGGUCGAAGGUAAACACGGAAGCUAUGUGUAAAUUCGGACGCACGAGGUAAGUAAACUCCUGGACUCCAUCUUUAAUAGUAAUGGAAUUAAUUGUAUGAUAAUCGUUAAAGGUUAUGUUGAAAUUUGUUAUUGAAGAAGAUAUCGAAUGAGUAGUAUUAAGUAAGUGAUUUCCGCAAUCACUUCUUAGUUGUUUACGUAGAGUUAUGUGCUAGUUAAUUAAGCAUAAUAAUUGAGACAAAUAAUGGAUGGGUUGUAUGAAACCAAUGAUUUUCGCUAAGUAGAUGUAACGGGUCAAAAAUGAGGUCUUGAUGUUAUAAUGGAAUGAAGAAUAAGAAAUGUCUACGGUAUGAUAACCGGGUAACGGGUAGGAUCGCGCAUAAGCACGUUAAUGGGUAAGUGGAAGUAUGGAUAAUGUAAAAGUUUUAUGGCUAUAAUGUUCUUGUAAGUUUUAGGCUAAUCGAAUGUGUUGUUUGAUAAAAACCAUGAGCGGGUCGUAUAAUUCGUAGAUGAAUAAUAAGCCGAAGACGUAUAAGUUAAGAAUUUCCUUAACCCGGAUGUUGGAUUUCAAGUUCACAUGAUAGAAUGUUAAUUUACAAUCAUGUAGAAAGAAACGUGACGCAAAACGGAUGAAAAAUGAGAGAGUUAUGUCCGUUUCGGUAAGAAUUAAUGGCUAGGAAAAGUGCAGAGCUGACACGGCCGGGUGGUGAGCUGACACGGCCGGGUGAAGGUUCUGUCGAAAAAUAUUAUUUAUGUGAUUUAUGCAUCGUAGGCUUCGGUAUAUUAUCCAUGGACUACGGUGGGCCUCCCAAACAUGAUUUCGAGUGUUCCCUUAACGAUUAUAAGUUGUAAACCCAAGUCUAAGCCUCAUGUAAUUUAUAUAAGAGUAUGAUAGAUGUAUGUAAUGAAGUUGGACAUGUAUUACAUGUAAAUGGUAUACAAGAAUGCGUACGGAACACGUAGGUAUGAAUACAUGAUUGUAGGUAUGAUUGAAUGUAUAUAGGUAUGUAGAUGUGUAUGAUUGUAGGUAUGUAUGUGUGCAAGUAUGUGCGAAUGCAUGAUUUGGAUGCAUUUGAGAAUUAACGUUACUAACAAUGCCCUUGAGUUUGGGAUGUAAUGCAGGAAUGAGAAUGUCGGAUUCUUAUGAAGUUGAAGCCGAACUCGGAACAAGAGACUUAGAGAGAAUAGUCGAAUGAAUCGAAGCUAUAUUGUCGAAUAUUAUACGAAAGUUAAUUGUGUGAGAAUAGUGUUAUAUGAGGUUGUCAAUGACUAAUGAUUAAGUUGUAUGUGAUGUUCAGAGGUACCAUACGGACUUCUUCUUCUACUAACGAAGAUGAGCGGACGAAGAUCGAGUCAAGAGCAAGGAUUGUAAGGGAAGGAUCGAUCACAUAAUUUAACAAAUGUAGGUCCGAAGUAUUAAUAUAAUGGAACGUGGUAAUCCUUUUUAAUGAGUGUAUGACAUUUGGUAUUCGAACUUUCCUGUAAGUACUAUGUCUAUUAAAGAACGAAAUUUUGGGUUCA